This is a long non-coding RNA of Trifolium pratense (red clover), 643 nucleotides long. RefSeq lists it as uncharacterized. The transcript is spliced from 3 exons. The record is from RefSeq and is a predicted model, not a curated record. Lineage: Eukaryota; Viridiplantae; Streptophyta; Magnoliopsida; Fabales; Fabaceae.
AGCUACUCUUGUGUUUGUGCCGAAGGAGUUAUUUUCAUCUCGCCUGGCAUCAAUGGCACUGACUAUACAAUGAGGAUUUUCAACUCUGAUGGUAGUGAGCCUGAGGUGAUUAAUUAUUCUUGCAAAUACAUUUGUUCAGAUGUGUGGCAAUGCAGUGCAGUGCUUUGCUAAAUUCGUUUUGUAGUUUGAGAGUUUACAUGGUCGGCAUAGAACUGCACGGUUGAUCGACACAUUUAAUUUAGUGUAUUAUGCAUCUUCAGAUUGAAUGGAAGGAUGAAGAUAAUCAUGUCUACAUGACAGGUUCAGCAGAACUAUUAGCCCCUUUGAAAUAUUGUCCCUAAACUAGAGAGCAGCAACUUGACACACCUCCACAUUUCUAAGAAACCAUACAUGAUUUCGGAAGUGUACUACCAGCAAGUACCCAUCCCUACGACGGAAAAACAGGUUUUUCGGAUGUGUAAUUCUGAGGUGACUUUGAGGAUGAUGAAAAUUUCACCCAUUAAUUAUUGUUUAUAAUAAUUCUAUGUGGAAUUUUAUAUUUUUGUUAAUAUUAUAAUGCCACAAAUUUGUUGACUUCACUUUUUAUUUUCUUUACGCACCUGUGUAGACUAAUUUCUCAAUAUAACUGAUAUUCAUUCUAGCA